Molecule: ribosomal RNA, 253 nt
Filed under: uncultured bacterium
Lineage: Bacteria
Description: partial 16S ribosomal RNA
Rfam family: Bacterial small subunit ribosomal RNA
Source: RNAcentral
GACGAACCGUGCGGACGUUGUUCGGAAUCACUGGGCUUAAAGGGCGCGUAGGCGGCUUGCCAAGUCAGUGGUGAAAUCCCACAGCUUAACUGUGGAAGUGCCUUUGAUACUGGCGAGCUCGAGGGAGGUAGGGGUAUGUGGAACUUCUGGUGGAGCGGUGAAAUGCGUUGAUAUCAGAAGGAACGCCGGUGGCGAAAGCGACGUACUGGACCUCUUCUGACGCUGAGGCGCGAAAGCUAGGGGAGCAAACGGG